Molecule: ribosomal RNA, 897 nt
Filed under: Bacillus licheniformis
Lineage: Bacteria; Bacillati; Bacillota; Bacilli; Caryophanales; Bacillaceae
Description: bacterial SSU rRNA
Rfam family: Bacterial small subunit ribosomal RNA
Source: RNAcentral
AUGGAUUUGAUUCUGUGCUCAGAACGAACGCUGGCGGCGUUCCUAAUACAUGCAAGUCGAGCGAACCGACGGAAGCUGCUCCCUUUAGUUCAGGCGGCCGAACGGGUGAGUAACACGGUGGUUAACCUGCCUGUAAGACUGGGAUAACUCCGGGAAACCGGGCCUAAUACCGGAUGCUUGAUUGAACCGCAUGUUUCAAUCAUAAAAGGUGGCUUUUAGCUACCACUUACAGAUGGACCCGCGGCGCAUUAGCUAGUUGGUGAGGUAACGGCUCACCAAGGCGACGAUGCGUAGCCGACCUGAGAGGGUGAUCGGCCACACUGGGACUGAGACACGGCCCAGACUCCUACGGGAGGCAGCAGUAGGGAAUCUUCCGCAAUGGACGAAAGUCUGACGGAGCAACGCCGCGUGAGUGAUGAAGGUUUUCGGAUCGUAAAACUCUGUUGUUAGGGAAGAACAAGUACCGUUCGAAUAGGGCGGUACCUUGACGGUACCUAACCAGAAAGCCACGGCUAACUACGUGCCAGCAGCCGCGGUAAUACGUAGGUGGCAAGCGUUGUCCGGAAUUAUUGGGCGUAAAGCGCGCGCAGGCGGUUUCUUAAGUCUGAUGUGAAAGCCCCCGGCUCAACCGGGGAGGGUCAUUGGAAACUGGGGAACUUGAGUGCAGAAGAGGAGAGUGGAAUUCCACGUGUAGCGGUGAAAUGCGUAGAGAUGUGGAGGAACACCAGUGGCGAAGGCGACUCUCUGGUCUGUAACUGACGCUGAGGCGCGAAAGCGUGGGGAGCGAACAGGAUUAGAUACCCUGGUAGUCCACGCCGUAAACGAUGAGUGCUAAGUGUUAGAGGGUUUCCGCCCUUUAGUGCUGCAGCAAACGCAUAAGCACUCCGCGUGGAAAAG